AUUUAAAUAAUUUAAAAAAAAAAUAUUGAUUUGUGGAGUCAAAAAUAUGAGUAAUCAUUUUAAGUU
This 66-nucleotide transfer RNA is filed under the name Lethe sicelis. Its description in RNAcentral is "tRNA-HIS". Lineage: Eukaryota; Metazoa; Arthropoda; Insecta; Lepidoptera; Nymphalidae. The record is from RNAcentral.